This 343-nucleotide long non-coding RNA is filed under the name Homo sapiens (human). Its description in RNAcentral is "non-protein coding lnc-BCHE-4:1". Lineage: Eukaryota; Metazoa; Chordata; Mammalia; Primates; Hominidae. The record is from RNAcentral.
UAAUUAACCUGACACUAGCCCUAGUAACCAAUACCUUACUGGUCUUAUUACUAACAAUAAUUACAUUUUGACUCCCACAACUUAAUAUUUAUAUAGAAAAAUCCAGCCCCUACGAAUGCGGAUUUGACCAAAUAACCUCCCCCCACCUCCCCUUUUUGAUAAAAUUCUUCCCAGUAGCCAUCACAUUUCUCCUCUUCAACUUGGAAAUCGCCCUACUACUACCCUGCCAUGAGCCCUUCAAACAAACAACUCGACACUAAUAAUCAACAUAGCCCUUAUACUAGUUACCAUUUUAAUCCUAGGCUUGACUUAUCAAUGAGCCCAAAAAAGGAGUAGAUUGAGU